This 400-nucleotide small RNA is filed under the name Pongo abelii (Sumatran orangutan). Its description in RNAcentral is "processed transcript". Lineage: Eukaryota; Metazoa; Chordata; Mammalia; Primates; Hominidae. The record is from RNAcentral.
GCACUACAAUCUGGAGACCACAGUCCCACAGGUGAACAACUUUGUGAUCUUUGAAGGCUUCUUUGCCCAUCAACAUCCUCCAUCAAGGAAGCUGCCACCCAAGAGAGCAGAGGGAGACAUCAAGCCAUACUCCUCUAGUGACCGAGAAUGGGGACUCCCCCAGGUCUGGUAGCCCAAAGCUGCUGCUACAGCCGCCAUGGGGGGGUGAAUUCCUCAUCCCCCAAUAUAGGCAACCAAGACUCCAAGCAGGGAGAACAGGAAACAAAGAAUAGGUUCAACUCUGGUACUUCCCUUUGGAAUACGGGUUCUCUGAGAGGUUUUAAAUUUGGACAUAGCACUAAUGGUUCCAGCCUCAUACCCAUCAUGUGUCCUACAUUAAAACCUGGCCUGAGAUCUUGAA